GAGGGUGUAGCUCAGUCAUAGAGCGCAUGCCUAGCACGCACGAGGUCCUGGGUUCAGUUCCCAGUACCUCUG
This 72-nucleotide transfer RNA is filed under the name Camelus bactrianus (Bactrian camel). It matches the Rfam family "tRNA". From Rfam's summary of the family: Transfer RNA (tRNA) molecules are approximately 80 nucleotides in length. Their secondary structure includes four short double-helical elements and three loops (D, anti-codon, and T loops). RNAcentral also lists the same sequence under 2 other names. Lineage: Eukaryota; Metazoa; Chordata; Mammalia; Artiodactyla; Camelidae. The record is from Rfam by way of RNAcentral.